UCGAACGCUUCUUUCCUCCCGAGUGCUUGCACUCAAUUGGAAAGAGGAGUGGCGGACGGGUGAGUAACACGUGGGUAACCUACCCAUCAGGGGGGGAUAACACUUGGAAACAGGUGCUAAUACCGCAUAACAGUUUAUGCCGCAUGGCAUAAGAGUGAAAGGCGCUUUCGGGUGUCGCUGAUGGAUGGACCCGCGGAGCAUUAGCUAGUUGGUGAGGUAACGGCUCACCAAGGCCACGAUGCAUAGCCGACCUGAGAGGGUGAUCGGCCACACUGGGACUGAGACACGGCCCAGACUCCUACGGGAGGCAGCAGUAGGGAAUCUUCGGCAAUGGACGAAAGUCUGACCGAGCAACGCCGCGUGAGUGAAGAAGGUUUUCGGAUCGUAAAACUCUGUUGUUAGAGAAGAACAAGGACGUUAGUAACUGAACGUCCCCUGACGGUAUCUAACCAGAAAGCCACGGCUAACUACGUGCCAGCAGCCGCGGUAAUACGUAGGUGACAAGCGUUGUCCGGAUUUGUUGGGCGUAAAGCGAGCGCAGGCGGUUUCUUAAGUCUGAUGUGAAAGCCCCCGGCUCAACCGGGGAGGGUCAUUGGAAACUGGGAGACUUGAGUGCAGAAGAGGAGAGUGGAAUUCCAUGUGUAGCGGUGAAAUGCGUAGAUAUAUGGAGGAACACCAGUGGCGAAGGCGGCUCUCUGGUCUG
RNAcentral lists this ribosomal RNA (703 nucleotides) under uncultured Enterococcus sp. RNAcentral describes it as "bacterial SSU rRNA". It matches the Rfam family "Bacterial small subunit ribosomal RNA", at positions 62 to 736 of the family's 1533-position model. The record is from RNAcentral. Lineage: Bacteria; Bacillati; Bacillota; Bacilli; Lactobacillales; Enterococcaceae.